Molecule: unclassified non-coding RNA, 309 nt
Filed under: plant metagenome
Description: partial contains 5.8S ribosomal RNA, internal transcribed spacer 2, and large subunit ribosomal RNA
Rfam family: 5.8S ribosomal RNA (bases 1-105)
Source: RNAcentral
GAAAUGCGAUAAGUAGUGUGAAUUGCAGAAUUCAGUGAAUCAUCGAAUCUUUGAACGCACAUUGCGCCCCUUGGUAUUCCAUGGGGCAUGCCUGUUCGAGCGUCAUUUGUACCCUCAAGCUCUGCUUGGUGUUGGGUGUUUGUCCCGUCUCCGCGCGUGGACUCGCCUCAAAGUGAUUGGCAGCCGGCGUACUGGUCCCGGAGCGCAGCACAUGUCGCGCAAACGAGUGCCUUGGUACGGCGGCGUCCAUAAGCCCCUCUCUCACGCUCUUGACCUCGGAUCAGGUAGGGAUACCCGCUGAACUUAAGC